RNAcentral lists this long non-coding RNA (6949 nucleotides) under Podarcis lilfordi (Lilford's wall lizard). The record is from RNAcentral. Lineage: Eukaryota; Metazoa; Chordata; Lepidosauria; Squamata; Lacertidae.
GAACUUCCAGAAUACCUGAAUUAUCAUGGAUUUCUCCAACUCUUGAGGAUCAGUAGUAUUAACUUUCUACUCAAUGGAUGUCACAGACCCAUUUGAUGUGGGGAGAACUGGGUAAAUAUAUAAUUCAGCAGAAGUCAGCCUCCCCAGUGAGGAAGUGCAAAGCAGGGGAAAGAGCCUCCCCUCCCCCACCCUCAAUCAAGUCCAGCUGAGCAAUUAGCCUCUCCCAGGCCAUGACUUCAAGCAGGGCUUUUUCAGCUGGAACUCACCAGAACUCAGUUCCAGCACCCAUCAGGUGGGUGCCAUUUAUAACAAAACAAGGGAGGUGUUAAUGGUAAAUUCCAGCCCCUCUUUUUCUAGAAAAGUAGCGCUGAAUUUAAGAACAGCAGAAGCAGCUGAGAAGGGAGAAGAGGAGUUCUGGGAUUUAAAUAAUCAUUUUGUGAGUUGUCUGUUUGUUUUUCAAUUUGAUCCUCUUACAUAGUUUUGUAUGUAUUGUGGUAUUUUAUAAAUUGUGACUUGCAGUUAUUUUUAUUUAUCAUAGUUUAAUAAUUAUAUAUUGUAAUGGCUAAGUGUGAAUUUCUGUUUAAUUAUUAUUUGCUGAUGUUCUGAGUUUAUUUUAUUGUGUACUAUUCUAAUAGAUUAUUGAAUAUUAGUUUAUUUGAUACAAGUUGUUCCAUUUUAAAGUUAGGUUUUAUUAUGACUUGUUGUUUUGAAUCAGAUUAUUGUAAGGUGUUCUUUGUAAACCGCCUUAUGUAUAGUAAUAUUGAAAGGUGGUAUACAAGUUAAAAGUGAAGUGAAAUGAAAUCCUCAGUCAGUAGAGCAUGAAACUUUUAAUCUCAGGGUUGUGGAUUCAAGCCCCACAUUGGACAAAAGAUUCCUGCAUUGCAGGGGUUUGGACUACAUGACCCUUGUGGUCCUUUCCAGCUCUACAAUUCUGUGAUUCUAUCCCGUAGGGUAUUAACGUACCCAAUUAAUAUUCAAAAGCUGGAUUUUUAUUUCCAGUGCUAGCAGCAAUUUGGCAUUCCACAUUUGAUCAUAAUAUCUUUCCAGACAUAUGCUGUUUCCCCUUGCCAUGUUGUAUGAAUAAAGUCCCUCCCUCCCGUAGGAAGGAAAGAUUAUCCUGCAAACCAGCAAAACGCUUAAAACUAUGCUAGAGGACAUGGAACAUUAGUUUUAGUUAGGAUUUUGAACAUGAGUUUUGACCUUCCAAAUAUGCUGCAGUACAGGUACCAUUCACUGGAGAAAUCUGCAUAGACAACGUGCUUUGAAAUUUUAAAUGUUUAAAGGCUUUGAACAGGUGGCUUUGAAUGAGUAUUGCAUCCUAAGAGUGAUAAAGAGUACAGCGUAAAUGAGAGUGAUGAAAUGGUAUAGAUGAAUUUAAUGAAUAAUCUGCUUUUGCAUUGGGAUUUUUGAUUGCACAAAAGUCAAAGUAUUUCCUGGAUACACUUUUAAUGGUGGAGCAGAAUCUGAAAAUAAGGAUGGAAAUGGAAUCUGAUUUCUGUGACUGCUUUCAUCUCGGAUCAGACCCAGAUUCCCAUUGGAGAGCCAUUAAAUAAAAAAUGAUGUUUCAACUAGCCAGGUUACUCCAGAACUGCCCUACCUUCCCAAACUUACAUAAUUGAGGGAGUGUUUCUAGAGAAACCUUCCCACAACAGCUUCUUUUCCAGACUUACUGGUAUAAUACCUGAAGCAGUAUUGGGUUUUAUGCUACAUGCCUGAAGACUGAAGCAGUGGGCUGCAUGCCUGAGGUGGUGGGCAGAUAUGUGUGUCUAAACACUGAGACCUCCCCCCCCCUUUUUUUUUUCACUUUUCAGGAUAUUUCCCCAAUAGCAUGUUCCAUUCUGGUAAAGUUGGGGAAGACAAAGCAUUGGGGGGACUCUCAGGAAAUGCUUCAGUGUAAGGAGUUCUGGCUUGUGGCUUUGGAUGCUGCCACGAUUCUGCCCACUUAUGUUAUAGGUUAUAAAGGGGCAACUUGGCCAAAUAGCACAUAUUGCUGUAUAUUUUUAUAUCUAGUAGCAGACAAAUAAUAUGAACUGAUAUGGGUGCAUUUUGUUUUUCUUAAGCUGUUAUGGCCUUUGAAGCUUAAACAAUUAGAAAAUCACAUCGGAUGUAAUUGAGAGAGGCAGUAAUACAGUGGAUAAGAACGCUGAAGUGCUAGGUUUAGUUCUACUUCAACAUUUUUCAAAGAAAAAAAAGUUUGUUUCAUCACACUUUUCACUGACAGCUAAGGUUACAAUUUCUAAGACAAGGCAUGCUGUGAUGUGUCCCAAGUCAUUUUGUAAUGAAAUAGCACUACCUGAAGGCUUGUUAAAAGGAUGAACAGCAGGUGGGGAACCUGAAGCUUUCUAAAAGCAUGCAGGAAAGUUAUUGAAAAAUAAAAUUCAAGCUGAAAAUUCAUGAACUUGAGUAAGACUUUAAGAGAAGCAAGCUGUCAACCCUAGUGUUUCUGAAGCAACACUAAUCCAACAUACAUAUUCCUAUUCUCCCAAAUCCAUGGGAUGGAUCCAUAGGCAGAUGAGCAAAACUCUGUGCAUGCAACAGGGCUUUCCUGACUCCUCCCUCAUUACAGACUUUUGCACCUUGAAAAGCCACUCCUUAUAGGGCACGAAUGGUUGGAACGGGAUAGGGAAAUUGCACAAGGAGAAGAUCCUUCUGUAUGCACAAGAAUUCUCUCGAUCUGAGUCUGUGCAUUUUCCAGUGGUGUUAAUGGCAGCUGUAUGUAGGAAUGGGGCUGAGUGGGAUUCAAUUUAAUUCACAUUUGAAGGUAAAACUACCUAAAUCAACUUUCCAAAGAAAUACAUGAACCAAAAUGCAGCAACUCUUCGAAAUUCACAUUUCACUGAGUUUGCAGUGCACUUCUCCAGCCAAGUAAUGCACACAAGAAAUCAUGUUUUUGGGUAAAGUGUGCAUUAAAAUGCAUAUAUUAGUGAAAACAACAUAAUUAUAAUACGAAACAUUGGAAAAAUGUGUAUGUUAGGCAAAAGUGUGAACAAAAAUAUGUAUAGAAUAAAUUCAUCCUAAAAUAUAUUAUUUUAUUAACAGUAUUGCUACGAGUUUGUCAUGGCCAUAAACUUAUGAACUAACUAAGAACUAAGAUUUAAACAAUAAAAUGCCAAUGGAUUUUCAUGAGAGUUUUAAAAGCAACAGCAACGCUGUUUUGGAAGUACAAAGAACUAUACUAAGAUUGUGAGAAUAAGAAAGUGAAACCAAAAUGGAUGGAUUGGCCCAUCCGCAGUUAUGCACUAUGCAUAUUUCACUGAGGAGUCUUGACUUGCUAUCACAACAGAGUGCCUCCAACUCCAGAAGCAGGAGGCAGACACCAUGGAAAGAGAUAACAGCCCCACAAUGCCCCCAUUCUGGAGAAAAACAAAACAAAACAUAAAAGGGGAUUUGAGGAGUGGCCCAGAGUCCCUUCCCCAGCAGGUACAUGUGCCUCAUGAUCUAUUCCUCCAGCAUAAAAAAAAGUCUUAACAGCAUACCUUUACUAAGCCACCACCACUCUGCCUUUGCAGAAUGUUCUGCUCAGUUUACGUGUGGUGCAGAAAAGAACUUUGCCAUUAUAAUUUUCUUCAUAAACUGCAUUCUCCACUAAUGAAUCAGUGCUCAAAGUUUCACAGAAUAAAUACAAUAAUAAAUAAAUACAAUAACACAGUAUCAAUAUGUAGUAAGCCAUGUAAUAUCACAGCAACAUAACACUAAAAAAAUUCAACACAUAACAAUUCAUUUGACAUAAAUAAACAUUUAACUAAACAUAUAUCUAUUUAUUAAGCAACAGUUGUCCUUCUGGCAGCAUCUCCCUUCUGAACGCUCCUAGGGCUGGAGGAUGGGGCAAGGCAGGUGGAAAAAAGCCACCCCCUGGUGUCCAGCACAAAGUCUCUCACUCCUCCCUGCUUUCUACUCAGGUUUUCAAAUGUGGUUAUUGGUUACUUUUAAUGGCAGUUAUUGGCUACUUUUGCAUGCCACACUGACAACUCACAGUGGGUGAAACAGCUGCGUACAGUAACCUGGCAGCCUUGUCUGUACUUGUGUGUGCAGCUUGAUUAACGUUAACCCGGCUUGUUGGUGUAAACACUCAUAUGGUGGUUGUUGUUUAGUCAUUUAGUCCUGUCCGACUCUUCGUGACCCCAUGGACCAGAGCACGCCAGGCAUUCCUGUCUCAUAUGGUAGAAUCCAUCAACUCAGAGUGGUUCAAACAUGGAAUUAAAAGCACAUUCAAUCCAGCUUUCCUUUUCCCCUUUUUUAAAGAGCCAAUUUCUAUUUCUUAACCUCACUGUUCUGCAAAGAGAAGCAUAUUUACUGGGAAGGAAAUAUCCUUUGUGCCCUCUAAAUAUUUCAUGUAUCUCUAGCAACUGGGAUUCAUUUUAAUACGGUUUGAGUAAAACAUCAAUAUGAAUUUGAUUUAGAUCAAAGUGAUGUAUUGCCCAGGCUGCCAUGGAGUAAAUAGAUCAACUUUUUUUCUUCCUUCUGAUACUGAAAGGAAUUGCUUGUCCUUUAUUUAUCUCUGCCAAUGAUACAGUACAUAGCCAAGUGAGCAGAAACCACCUUUGAAUCUGAUUAGGGGAGAAAUUGCCUCACAAGUUGUAACUUUGAUGAAUUGUUAAAGAAGAGAAUGAUAUCCUCCAUACAUUAAAUUCCUGUUGGAAGGUAUUAAUUUGAUAUCUUUAUUCCCAAUUAUGGCAUGGUUCCUGGCAUUGUCUUGGAAGUCACAUGGUGAUGCAAACCUUUGCAAAGCUAAGCUAAGCAUGACUGACUCUGUCUGCAGCCUGGAUGGGAGAUCACCUGGAAAUAAGUCUCGUGAUGGGACUUAUUUCUGAAUAAACAUGCACAGCUGGGGUUCCCAACAUGCUGCCCAAUGGCACAGCAUCACCUUCAGACACCCCCCUUGUCACCUACUAAGGCCCCCUGUCACUCCCAUUUUUGAAAUAGUUAAGUGAAAUGGGGGUUGUUAACAUUUUUGGUUGUUUGGGGGCCUUUUUAUUUAGGAAGGACUGGUUUUUUUUGUUUAUGCUUUAUUUUGGGUGUGUGAGUAGGUUUUUGCCUUUUGUUUUGUGAAAUGGGUACUUUGUGGUGUCCAUGACAGUUCCUUAGAUUUCCAGAUGUGCUCUUGAGCCUAAAGAGAUUGAAGAUCCCUCAUGUACAGGAUUUCACUGUACACAAAUACAGUACAAAAAGGGGAAAGUGAGAAUAACAAAUGUGAAUCUUUAAGACAAGUCAUAUUCUGUAUGUCUAAUUCAUUUAUAUGCAAUGGAAAUAGUUAUAUAAGGAGUUGGAUGCAUAUCCAGGGAACUUGGCUUCAAGUACCCAAUCAUUCAGUGACAGUAUAAAAGGUCUAAAGAUAAAUUACAGAAAUUAGUCAUUGUGGCUCCAUUCAAUGAGCAUCUUCUGUUCGACAUCAUUGCAGUCUAACCAAAAUGAAUUUUGAGGUAACUUGCAUUCAGUGGCCAACAUAUUUGUACUGACUUCUAAAACAUCAGAUCAUUUGGGAUUUUGUUAAUAUACUCUGGUGCCCUUUGUGUAGCUAGUACAGCAAAAGUGGACAAGGAAAGAGAGGAAGUCUUAUAGACAGCAUGGCGGCUCACGGAAUGCGGUGGCACCUACCCUCUUACUGAACUCAUAAUUAAAACCAUUUAAUUUUCAACAUAUAACAAAUGCUUGCUGAAUAAAAUCAUUUCCCUGCAGCCCAUUCUUAAAGAGGGCUGUUUAAACAUUCUGCUAUACAGACAAAAAUACAAGGAUCUGCAUAGAUUAUAGGAAGAAGCCAGUUUAAUUUCUUUUACAGGAGGGGGAAAAAAAACCCUUCUCAUUUAUCUCCUGAAGAUAAUAAUUCUUUGAGGUAGAAUGUUUUGUGUUAAGCACCUUUUAAAUAAAUGUCCUUGCCAGGCAGUAACAGGCCAAUUUGACUUAUUGGAGAAACAAUAGAAACAUCAAUCACCACCAUGAGCACAAUGGAAGGAAUGAUAUGCCUCCUGCUUUCAAACAUUAACCAGUGAUGUCUUCUCAUAUGAGCUCUGUUCCCAUCAUUUACAAGUUGCAUGAAAGGCCAUAACCACUUGGGGGGUGUUGCUUAACAAUUACCCAGGUGUUCCUAUGGGAGGACAGUAUUUCAGCAACAAUGAAUGGUAAAUUCCAAUCAAUGCACAUGCACGCACACUGCCACAUUUACUCAUGUAAUGGGUUACUGCCAAGAAGCAUUUUAGAAUCCAGUUAUCAGAUGUACCCUCAUGGUGUUUACUGUCUCCUUCACCUCAAAUUCUGAAAUAUGCUCCAUAAGUACUAUGUUUUUAUGCCACUCUCAGUGGCAGAAUUUAGUCCCAUAUGUGAGACAUCUGUAACUGGGCCUCUUAACAUUUUAAAAAAACAAUUUUUAAAAAAACUUAGAUACAGGAGGCUCCAAUUUUUAUCAGAGUAGCAGUGAUGGGGAUAGUUUGUCUGUCAGAUCUGUUUGCCUAAUCUAUUUUCCCCUCCACAUCUGUUGCUAGCCCAGGUGGGUGGGUGGACUUGCUUCACGCUUUUAUUUUCCCCCAGGGACUAACAGCAGGUUUGGAGUGGAUUAAUAUCAGUAAAAUGGCAAGGGAGAGAGGGUUAAACUCCUAGCCAAUGCUCUGAUCAAAUUUGGAGCCCCCAAAUAUUGGAUCAUAUAUCUUUUGCAUCGCAUCUGUUUCAGUCAUAACAUAAAAAGUAACCUCUCAUAUACAUAGAUUGACUGGAGCUAUCUGCUGUUUCAGAAAUAAUGGAUUGCUUGUGCAAAGCUAGGAAUGAGUAAGCACCAUGGUUUUGAAAACUUACACAUCAGUCAUUACAGGCCAGUUAAUGUCUGUCCUUAUUUACUGGAUGUCACAUUUUUAAAGAUAAAAUGUAUUUUUGGAAAAGAAUCAGUAGGGCUGCUGCAAACGGAAGUCUUACCUCGCUAAUCUUUUUUUUUUUUUAAAUAUUAAGAUUUUCAAAAUAUUAC